Molecule: non-coding RNA, 1310 nt
Organism: Schizosaccharomyces pombe (fission yeast)
Lineage: Eukaryota; Fungi; Ascomycota; Schizosaccharomycetes; Schizosaccharomycetales; Schizosaccharomycetaceae
Source: the annotation of a GenBank genome assembly
GAAGAAGAUCAAAUCCACAAACAGGUUGCUCAAACGCAAUUGAUAUCUUAGAGGCCAUAUUUUUUUCUUCCUCUGAAAGAUUGGUGAUAAACCUAAUUUCCUUACCAUGUGGAUUCCUUCUCACAAUUCCGUCCACUACGGGUGAUUUGCGGGUUUCUGCAUGGCUGUAAUGAGGACCCACGGUAUAAACCUUUACGUCUUCCGCGUUAUCGACAUUCAUGAAUUCCUCGUAAAUAAAAGAUCCUUCAGUGCGUGGAGCACAAAGAUCUGGAUCAUAAUCUGAAGACUUAUUUGCGACUUUACGAAAUAAUUUGCGACCUCCCCCACCAACGGAUUUAGGGAAAUAAAUAUAAAUAUUGUGAUCUUCACCAUAGACUGGUUUUUCAACGUACGGCUUCUUUAUUAUCUUGCCAUCAACAGAAAGAGUAUCUUCGUCCAACAUUUUUACUUCUGGGGUAGGAACCUCUGUGAUUUCUAUUCCAAACUUUCGACGCAACUUUUCUUCUAGGACUUUAUUAAUUUUAGGACCUCCAUCACGAGAGCAAAUCAAACGCUGAGGGGUGGAAACACGUAUGGCAUCAAGGAUGUUCAACACAAGCCGUCUAUCCCAAAGCAACUCUUGGAAUACUACAUCGUUUACACAAAAAGGUUUACGCAACUCGACAUACUUUUCAGCUUUCUUCAAUGGAAAUCCACUAGAGUAGAAACAUAUCAAAUAAUCACAAGCAGGCCAAUUUUCCACAGCUUCGUCCAAAAUCAUGUUGUCACCGAAUACUAUGGCUUCAAACUCACCUUCUGCGAUGAUUCUGUUCAGAAUAUUCCGACAUGGUUUUGAGCGAGCUUUGGCAUCCAUGGCACAGAUUCCAACUACAUUUCGUUUAGUAGGUGUAACGAUUGAGGAAACAGGCGACGCCGUUCUGGUAGAUGACUCUGUGUCGAUAGAUGUAAGAUGACUUGCAUUUUGAAUCAUCCUUUAUUAUUCAACUACGUUAAAAUAUUUAAUAACGCUUAAAACACCUUUUUCCCACUUGUAUUCUUUCAAUGGCCAAUUCCCUCACUUGUUUGGUUAUGAGAGAUGUAGGUACACGGUGUUAGUACACACCUAGUCGAUCAAUGUUACUUGUACGGUUAACCUUACAAUUCAGCGAGGUAACAUUUGUUUACCUAACGAAAUGUAAAUAAAUAAGAAAUUGUUGCUUAAAUGAAGUGGACAGUGAAUAUUGAAUUUGUUUCGCAGUAAUGCUUCUAUGAAUAACUUUUUUACUAAUUAUACUGGGUUAGUUAAUUUGGGUUUUCAUAAAAAUUUUUUU